Canis lupus familiaris (dog) is the source of this 549-nucleotide long non-coding RNA. RefSeq lists it as uncharacterized. Lineage: Eukaryota; Metazoa; Chordata; Mammalia; Carnivora; Canidae. The transcript is spliced from 3 exons. The record is from RefSeq and is a predicted model, not a curated record.
CCCAGCUUUAGGUAAGAGAGGCUGGCAGUGCUGCUUCAGUGAGGCACAGAACCGGAUGUCAGAGGACGGCUGCUCCCCCAACACCCCACCCCAGGCUGGGAUAGGACUUUGAUACGAUUCUGUAUCUCGGGGGGAAUCUAUGUGAUGAAAUCUCCUCCGGUUGGCCUCUCCAACGAGCUGACAGGAAUUUCCUGUUCAAACCAGCAGAGGAACUCGGGUUUGCUCCUCCAGGGCCAAUCUUGGUGGGAAAAGGCACAAAAAAGCAAGAGGCAGAAGCUGCCUUUGUGAGUGGACUGCCACUGGUGAGCGUACCUGUGGACCUCAGGGGGACAAAAAAGGGAUGACUUUUGGGAGUGAAAUCUGAUUAACCAGACUUCUAAUAUGCAAAAUAUCAGAAGAUGAGAAAGAAGAGGCAGAGAAAGAAGAAGGAAGAAGAUGGAGGAAGAUGAGGACAAUGAUGAGAAGGAGGAGGAUGAAGAAGAAGAAAGAAGAAAUAGUUUAUGAGGUAGGUCUAAACAGUUCAAGCUUUCAAAGAAAGCCUGCAGAGAA